Molecule: ribosomal RNA, 462 nt
Filed under: Corynebacterium matruchotii
Lineage: Bacteria; Bacillati; Actinomycetota; Actinomycetes; Mycobacteriales; Corynebacteriaceae
Description: bacterial SSU rRNA
Rfam family: Bacterial small subunit ribosomal RNA
Source: RNAcentral
GACGAACGCUGGCGGCGUGCUUAACACAUGCAAGUCGAACGGAAAGGCCCCCACCUUGGUGGGGGUGCUCGAGUGGCGAACGGGUGAGUAACACGUGGGUGAUCUGCCCUGCACUUCGGGAUAAGCUUGGGAAACUGGGUCUAAUACCGGAUAGGACCAUGGUUUAGUGUCUCAUGGUGGAAAAAUUAUUGUUUUGGUGCAGGAUGAGCUCGCGGCCUAUCAGCUUGUUGGUGGGGUAAUGGCCUACCAAGGCGUCGACGGGUAGCCGGCCUGAGAGGGUGGACGGCCACAUUGGGACUGAGAUACGGCCCAGACUCCUACGGGAGGCAGCAGUGGGGAAUAUUGCACAAUGGGCGCAAGUCUGAUGCAGCGACGCCGCGUGGGGGAUGACGGCCUUCGGGUUGUAAACUCCUUUCGUUAGGGACGAAGCCACAUUUUUUUGGUGUGGGACGGACCUUGUAA